GACGAGCGGCGGACGGGUGAGUAAUGCAUAGGAAACUGCCCAGUAGUGGGGGAUAGCCCGGGGAAACCCGGAUUAAUACCGCGUACGCCCUUCGGGGGAAAGCAGGGGAUCUUCGGACCUUGCGCUAUUGGAUGUGCCUAUGUCGGAUUAGCUAGUUGGUGGGGUAAAGGCCUACCAAGGCGACGAUCCGUAGCUGGUCUGAGAGGAUGAUCAGCCACAUCGGGACUGAGACACGGCCCGAACUCCUACGGGAGGCAGCAGUGGGGAAUAUUGGACAAUGGGGGCAACCCUGAUCCAGCCAUGCCGCGUGUGUGAAGAAGGCUUUCGGGUUGUAAAGCACUUUCAGUGAGGAGGAAAACUCUGCGACUAAUACUCGUAGGGCUUGACGUUACUCACAGAAGAAGCACCGGCUAACUCCGUGCCAGCAGCCGCGGUAAUACGGAGGGUGCAAGCGUUAAUCGGAAUUACUGGGCGUAAAGCGCGCGUAGGUGGUUUGAUAAGCGAGAUGUGAAAGCCCCGGGCUUAACCUGGGAACGGCAUUUCGAACUGUCAGGCUAGAGUAUGGUAGAGGGUAGUGGAAUUUCCUGUGUAGCGGUGAAAUGCGUAGAUAUAGGAAGGAACACCAGUGGCGAAAGGCGGCUACCUGGACC
Molecule: ribosomal RNA, 650 nt
Filed under: Marinobacter adhaerens
Lineage: Bacteria; Pseudomonadati; Pseudomonadota; Gammaproteobacteria; Pseudomonadales; Marinobacteraceae
Description: bacterial SSU rRNA
Rfam family: Bacterial small subunit ribosomal RNA
Source: RNAcentral